This 456-nucleotide long non-coding RNA is filed under the name Vigna radiata. RNAcentral describes it as "long non-coding RNA (VRAD_LNC006388)". The record is from RNAcentral. Lineage: Eukaryota; Viridiplantae; Streptophyta; Magnoliopsida; Fabales; Fabaceae.
AAACAGAGAACUUACCUCGCACUCUAGAACACCCAACUCAAUGGAAGCCGAGCGACACCGCGAGCUCUCAACCCAACAGCGAAUCUCGGGCUUCACCACCCCACCCACCGCACAAGCCUCGCCGAUAACCACGAACCACCACCCCACUCGACACCUACAGCGACGCGACGAAUCGUAGGCACACAAUGAAACCAAAUUUCUCAACAGUUCUCAGCACAGGGGAGGAAGGGUUUCUGUUUGAGCAAAUUGGAGACGACCUGCACGAAUACCCUCAAUCGCUGAGUUUAAUUGGUCGAGACCCUUACCGAAGGACACAGAGCCCUCGCUAAGGUCUUCUUGACCGUCGGUAACAUUAUUUCAUGUUGCCCUUCGGAAAGUGAUUUUUUGGCCCUCGGUAAGGAACUUUUACCGACGGCCCCUUGGCCUUCGGAAAAAUACCUUCGGUAUUUAACACUU